GAUUUUGCGAUGAUAAGAAUAUAAUUCCUCGUUCUGAAUGCCGAUUGGCAUGAUAGACUCUGUUUUAACACCCAUAGAAUCUGAGCAAA
RNAcentral lists this small nucleolar RNA (89 nucleotides) under Erythranthe guttata (spotted monkey flower). Its description in RNAcentral is "Mimulus guttatus (spotted monkey flower) Small nucleolar RNA snoR8a". It matches the Rfam family "Small nucleolar RNA snoR8a". The record is from Rfam by way of RNAcentral. Lineage: Eukaryota; Viridiplantae; Streptophyta; Magnoliopsida; Lamiales; Phrymaceae.